Long non-coding RNA from Physcomitrium patens, 947 nucleotides. RefSeq lists it as uncharacterized. NCBI's taxonomy places the organism in Eukaryota, Viridiplantae, Streptophyta, Bryopsida, Funariales, Funariaceae. The record is from RefSeq and is a predicted model, not a curated record.
UCGAACUGCACUUGGGAAGGAAUUUUGAUACACAGGAUUGUGUGCUUACGAUCUCUCCAUUGUUGCCUGUUACUAAUGCCGAGUUGAGAAAGAUGAAGGAGAGUACCCACCACGGAAGCUGAAGAUGCUUCCACCAGUGGCAGCGUGCGCGCGGUGAAUGAUUCAGACUCGACAUUAGAUGGUGCGUCCGCAAUCCUUCCGUCUGUGACACUGGGAAUUACGAAUACGGAGCCAGUUUUUGAUGAUCGGCGUCCCCUGCUUCCCUUGUCUUCUGUUGCUGCUACUCGUUUAGCGAAGGAGGGAGAGGGUGACAGGAAGGAUUGGUGUGGUGGGGAGGGUGACGAUCACGAUAGGCAGAAUCGAGAACUUCAAGCUGGGCUGCAUCCUCUGCAGUUAUCUGGAAAUAUAGGAAGCCAUCACACUGAAUGGGGACAUCGUGUAGCACUGAAAAUUUGGAGAUUGUGGAGGCCACAAGUCAGCAACAGGUUGCCAGAAUAGCUACUUUCUCACACAGUGCAAUACACUUAUGGUUUUGAUGCGGUUGAAAUAUGACUAGGAUGGAUCCUAGCGGUAGUGUUAAAAACUGUAGUAGAAUAGGGUCUCUAGAAUCUUAAAAGGAAAGUGCUAAUGUCUCGUGACUUACUUCAUUUUACACUUACAUAAUUUCAAGACAUUAGAAAUCUGGCACCGUUUAUGUAUGUGUAAGUGAUCUUGCUUCAAUUUUUGAGCUUUAAUGAAGUAUAGUCAGACAAUAAUAAAGCCUUGAUAGCAAGCCAUUAAAAGCAAUUGGUACAAUAGGAUAAGCCUUUUGCGCUGCUCUUCAAGAAGAGCUGGUAUACUUUUACAGAUUGAUGGCAGUUAUUGAGGAUCAAAUUCAUCAUCCUAUUUCCGUCAUGGUGAAACAUGACUCCUUGAACUCUAUUAAUAACCAUUAGUCUUUGAAAAGA